Molecule: ribosomal RNA, 520 nt
Filed under: Vaejovis vorhiesi group sp. RWB-2013
Lineage: Eukaryota; Metazoa; Arthropoda; Arachnida; Scorpiones; Vaejovidae
Description: eukaryotic LSU rRNA
Rfam family: Eukaryotic large subunit ribosomal RNA
Source: RNAcentral
GACCAAGGAGUCUAACAUGUGCGCGAGUCGUCGGGUCUUGAAUAGGCCCGCAGGCGAAAUGAAAGUGAAGGGCGACCUCGUUGUCGUCUGCGUUGGGAUCCUCACUCAGAUCACUGUGUCUGGGGCGCACCAACGGCCCGUCCCGUCCGCAGCGUCGGUGGGACGGAGCGAGAGCGUACACGUUGGGACCCGAAAGAUGGUGAACUAUGCCUGGGCAGGACGAGGCCAGAGGAAACUCUGGUGGAGGUCCGCAGCGAUUCUGACGUGCAAAUCGAUCGUCAGACCUGGGUAUAGGGGCGAAAGACUAAUCGAACCGUCUAGUAGCUGGUUCCCUCCGAAGUUUCCCUCAGGAUAGCUGGCGCUCGAGGGAGUCAGUCUCAUCCGGUAAAGCGAAUGAUUAGAGGCCUUGGGGCCGAAACGACCUCAACCUAUUCUCAAACUUUCAAUGGGUGAGAAGUCCGGUUUACAUGACUGAAGCCCGGACAAUUCUCAGGAUGCGAGUGCCCAGUGGGCCACUUUU